RNAcentral lists this ribosomal RNA (478 nucleotides) under uncultured bacterium. RNAcentral's name for it is "partial 16S ribosomal RNA". It matches the Rfam family "Bacterial small subunit ribosomal RNA", at positions 28 to 507 of the family's 1533-position model. The record is from RNAcentral.
GAUGAACGCUGGCGGCGUGCUUAACACAUGCAAGUCGAACGAGAAAUGUAGACGGAAACCUUCGGGCGGAAGCCUUCAUUUCGAGUGGCGGACGGGUGAGUAACGCGUGGGUAACCUGCCUCAUACAGGGGGAUAACAGUUGGAAACGACUGUUAAUACCGCAUAAGACCACAGCAUCGCAUGAUGCGGGGGUAAAAACUCCGGUGGCAUGAGAUGGACCCGCGUUCGAUUAGCCAGUUGGCGGGGUAACGGCCCACCAAAGCGACGAUCGAUAGCCGAUCUGAGAGGAUGACCGGACACAUUGGGACUGAGACACGGCCCAAACUCCUACGGGAGGCAGCAGUGGGGAAUAUUGCACAAUGGGGGAAACCCUGAUGCAGCGACGCCGCGUGAGUGAAGAAGUACUUCGGUAUGUAAAGCUCUAUCAGCAGGGAAGAAAAUGACGGUACCUGAGUAAGAAGCCCCGGCUAACUACGUG